RNAcentral lists this ribosomal RNA (685 nucleotides) under uncultured Vibrionaceae bacterium. RNAcentral describes it as "bacterial SSU rRNA". It matches the Rfam family "Bacterial small subunit ribosomal RNA", at positions 1 to 671 of the family's 1533-position model. Lineage: Bacteria; Pseudomonadati; Pseudomonadota; Gammaproteobacteria; Vibrionales; Vibrionaceae. The record is from RNAcentral.
UAGAGUUUGAUCAUGGCUCAGAUUGAACGCUGGCGGCAGGCCUAACACAUGCAAGUCGAGCGGAAACGACACUAACAAUCCUUCGGGUGCGUUAAUGGGCGUCGAGUGGCGGACGGGUGAGUAAUGCCUAGGAAAUUGCCUUGAUGUGGGGGAUAACCAUUGGAAACGAUGGCUAAUACCGCAUAAUGCCUACGGGCCAAAGAGGGGGGCCUUCGGGCCUCUCGCGUCAAGAUAUGCCUAGGUGGGAUUAGCUAGUUGGUGAGGUAAUGGCUCACCAAGGCGACGAUCCCUAGCUGGUCUGAGAGGAUGAUCAGCCACACUGGAACUGAGACACGGUCCAGACUCCUACGGGAGGCAGCAGUGGGGAAUAUUGCGCAAUGGGCGAAAGCCUGAUGCAGCCAUGCCGCGUGUAUGAAGAAGGCCUUCGGGUUGUAAAGUACUUUCAGUUGUGAGGAAGGGUGUGUAGUUAAUAGCUGCAUAUCUUGACGUUAGCAACAGAAGAAGCACCGGCUAACUCCGUGCCAGCAGCCGCGGUAAUACGGAGGGUGCGAGCGUUAAUCGGAAUUACUGGGCGUAAAGCGCAUGCAGGUGGUUCAUUAAGUCAGAUGUGAAAGCCCGGGGCUCAACCUCGGAACUGCAUUUGAAACUGGUGAACUAGAGUGCUGUAGAGGGGGGUAGAAUUUCA